RNAcentral lists this ribosomal RNA (403 nucleotides) under uncultured bacterium. RNAcentral describes it as "partial 16S ribosomal RNA". It matches the Rfam family "Bacterial small subunit ribosomal RNA", at positions 30 to 526 of the family's 1533-position model. The record is from RNAcentral.
AUUGAACGCUGGCGGCCUGCCUAACACAUGCAAGUCGAGCGAGUGGCUGACGGGUGAGUAAUGUAUGGGGACUGCCCGAUAGAGGGGGAUAACUACUGGACACGGUUGCUACUACCGCAUACUAUCGGAUAACCCAUAUGGGAUUAGCUAUGAGGUGGGGUGAAGGCUCACCUAGGCGACGAUCUCUAGCUGGUCUGAGAGGAUGAUCAGCCACACUGUGACUGAGACACGGCCCAGACUCCUACGGAGGCAGCAGUGGGGAAUAUGGCACAAUGGGCGCAAGCAUGAUGCAGCCAUGCGGCGUGUAUGAAGAAGGCCUUGGGGUUGUAAAGUACUUUCAGCGGGGAGGCGUUACCCGCAGAAGAAGCACCGGCUAACUCCGUGCCAGCAGCCGCGGUAAUUC